AUGAGCGGAGGAAGAGCCCCGGUACUGGAGAAAGUAGAGGGUAAGUUGAAGGACCUGCGGCUGUCAAAAGCUGAGAAGAACAAAAUCAGGAUCGGGAAGAAGCAAGCAUGUGCCUCGAAGGCGAGCAAGCACCAAGUAGUGGGUAAGAUUCUCUCAUAUAGGCAGGCAAAAGCUGAAUAUGUAGGAAGAACACUCGGCAAUGUCUGGUGCCCGUUCUCAGAAAUUCAGUGCAAAGAUCUUGGCAGAAACAGGUUCCUCUCUAAUAUCCAUGAUAAGGCAGUGAAGAAAAAAGCUUUGGAAGAUGGACCAUGUACCUUCAAUAAAGAUCUGAUAGUAAUGGAGGAUUACGCACCAAAUAAGACUAUAGAGUAUGAAUUUAAAACCAUCCCGAUUUGGGUAAGAGCCUAUGGAAUUCCUAUGGGGAUGAUGAGUAAAGAAAUAGGGGAUUUCGUAGGAGAUCGAAUUGGGGAGGUCCUUAAUGUGGAUUUAGAUGACAAUGGAGAAGCAAUGGGGGCUUUUAUGAGGAUUAAAGUGCAUACUGAUAUUACAGCUCCCUUAACGAGAUUCGGAAUUUUGAUCACUGAUGACGAUGAGGAAGAGCGGGAGUUGCCCAAUGAAGAGGUGAUGGGUGGCGAAGAGGAUGAAAUAGAAGGGAAGAGGAAGGAAAAAGAGAAGAUUAUUUCCUUUGAAUAUGAAUACUUACCUGACUUUUGUUAUAACUGUGGUAUCAUCGGACAUGCAGAGAAGGCUUGCCCAACAAGAUCAAGAAGAGGGAGCUAG
Molecule: ribosomal RNA, 780 nt
Filed under: Triticum aestivum (bread wheat)
Lineage: Eukaryota; Viridiplantae; Streptophyta; Magnoliopsida; Poales; Poaceae
Description: partial small subunit ribosomal RNA
Source: RNAcentral